This 530-nucleotide ribosomal RNA is filed under the name Bruchidius sokokensis. RNAcentral describes it as "partial 16S ribosomal RNA". The stretch from base 393 to 530 matches the Rfam family "Bacterial large subunit ribosomal RNA", at positions 2473 to 2608 of the family's 2925-position model. The record is from RNAcentral. Lineage: Eukaryota; Metazoa; Arthropoda; Insecta; Coleoptera; Chrysomelidae.
UCAAAAACAUGGCUUUUUGAUUAUAAUUUUAAGUUUGGCCUGCCCCCUGAAUUUUAAAUGGCCGCGGUAUUUUGACCGUGCUAAGGUAGCAUAAUCAUUAGUUUUUUAAUUAGAAGCUGGAAUGAAUGGUUGGAUGAAAAAAAAUCUGUCUCUAUUUAAAUUUAUUAAAAUUUUAUUUUUUAGUUAAAAAGCUAAAAUAGUUUUAAAAGACGAGAAGACCCUAUAGAGUUUAAUAUUUAAUUGUUUUAUAUUUUAUUAGAAUUUAAAUUUUUAAUUUAAUUAUUUAUUUAGUUGGGGUGAUUGAAAAAUUUAAAUAACUUUUUUUUAUUUGUACCAUUAAUUUAUGAAAAAUUGAUCCAUUUUUUUUGAUUAUAAGAUUUAAUUACCUUAGGGAUAACAGCGUAAUGUUUUCAGAGAGUUCUUAUCGAAGGAAAAGAUUGCGACCUCGAUGUUGGAUUAAAAUUAACUUUUGGUGUAGAAGCUAAAUUGAUGUUGGGUCUGUUCGACCUUUAAAAUUUUACAUGAUCUGA